GAUUAACGCUAGCGGCAGGCCUAAUACAUGCAAGUCGAGGGGUAACAGGGUAGCAAUACCGCUGACGACCGGCGCACGGGUGAGUAACACGUAUGCAACCUACCUAUAACUGGGGAAUAGCCUUCCGAAAGGAAGAUUAACACCGCAUAACAUCACGAGACGGCAUCGUCUUGUGAUCAAACCUCCGGGGGUUAUAGAUGGGCAUGCGUAACAUUAGCUAGUUGGUGAGGAACGGCUCACCAAGGCGACGAUGUUUAGGGGGUCUGAGAGGAUGAUCCCCCACACCUGGUACUGAGACACGGACCA
This 306-nucleotide ribosomal RNA is filed under the name uncultured bacterium. RNAcentral describes it as "bacterial SSU rRNA". It matches the Rfam family "Bacterial small subunit ribosomal RNA", at positions 28 to 333 of the family's 1533-position model. The record is from RNAcentral.